This 292-nucleotide ribosomal RNA is filed under the name uncultured bacterium. RNAcentral's name for it is "partial 16S ribosomal RNA". It matches the Rfam family "Bacterial small subunit ribosomal RNA", at positions 505 to 796 of the family's 1533-position model. The record is from RNAcentral.
GUGUCAGCAGCCGCGGUAAGACGUAGGAGGCGAGCGUUAUCCGGAUUCACUGGGCGUAAAGCGCAUGUAGGCGGCUCGGCAAGUCGUGUGUGUAAGCCCCUGGCUCAACUGGGGGAGGUCAUGCGAGACUGGCGGGCUUGAGGACAGCAGAGGAGCGUGGAACUCCCGGUGUAGCGGUGGAAUGCGUAGAGAUCGGGAAGAACACCAGUGGCGAAGGCGGCGCUCUGGGCUGUGUCUGACGCUGAGAUGCGAAAGUGUGGGGAGCAAACGGGAUUAGAUACCCCGGUAGUCC